Molecule: ribosomal RNA, 279 nt
Filed under: uncultured bacterium
Lineage: Bacteria
Description: partial 16S ribosomal RNA
Rfam family: Bacterial small subunit ribosomal RNA
Source: RNAcentral
UGCCAGCCGCCGCGGUAAUACGGAGGGGGUUAGCGUUGUUCGGAAUUACUGGGCGUAAAGCGUACGUAGGCGGAUUAAAAAGUUAGAUGUGAAAUCCCUGGGCUCAACCCAGGAACUGCAUUUAAAACUAUUGAUCUUGAAAUUGGUAAGGGUUAGUAGAAUUUCCAGUGUAGAGGUGAAAUUCGUAGAUAUUGGAAAGAAUACCAGAAGCGAAGGCGACUAACUAGGCCAUUUUUGACGCUGAGAUACGAAAGCGUGGGUAGCAAACAGGAUUAGAUA